RNAcentral lists this ribosomal RNA (490 nucleotides) under uncultured bacterium. RNAcentral describes it as "partial 16S ribosomal RNA". It matches the Rfam family "Bacterial small subunit ribosomal RNA", at positions 29 to 523 of the family's 1533-position model. The record is from RNAcentral.
AAUGAACGUUGGCGGCAUGUAUUAGGCAUGCAAGUCGAGCGAGAAGGGUCCGAGUGCUUGCACAAAGACCCGGAAAGCGGCGAAAGGGUGAGUAACGCGUAGUUACCUGCCUCAGGGUCCGGGAUAGCCACGGGAAACUGUGGGUAAUACCGGAUGACAUCUCCGGAUCAAAGGUGUGAUUCCGCCCUGAGAGGGGACUGCGUCCUACUAGCUUGUUGGUGGGUUAAUGGCCUACCAAGGCUUCGAUGGGUAGCGGGCGUGAGAGCGUGACCCGCCACACUGGGACUGAGACACUGCCCAGACACCUACGGGUGGUUGCAGUCGAGAAUCUUCGGCAAUGGACGCAAGUCUGACCGAGCGAUGCCGCGUGCGGGAUGAAGGCCCUCGGGUUGUAAACCGCUGUCAGUUGGGAGGAAGGUCCGCCGAAGAGGCGGAUUUGACCUAUCUUCAGAGGAAGUACGGGCUAAGUUCGUGCCAGCAGCCGCCGUAA